RNAcentral lists this ribosomal RNA (250 nucleotides) under uncultured bacterium. RNAcentral's name for it is "partial 16S ribosomal RNA". It matches the Rfam family "Bacterial small subunit ribosomal RNA", at positions 524 to 773 of the family's 1533-position model. The record is from RNAcentral.
UACGUAGGGAGCGAGCGUUGUCCGGAUUUACUGGGUGUAAAGGGUGCGUAGGCGGGAUUGCAAGUCAGGCGUGAAAUACCGAAGCUUAACUUCGGGGCUGCGUUUGAAACUGCGAUUCUUGAGUGAAGUAGAGGCAGGCGGAAUUCCUAGUGUAGCGGUGAAAUGCGUAGAUAUUAGGAGGAACACCAGUGGCGAAGGCGGCCUGCUGGGCUUUAACUGACGCUGAUGCACGAAAGCAUGGGUAGCAAAC